UGUUUUAUGGACAACAAUGCACACGCAUCACCGUUUCGUUGAGGAGCUAAAAAAUUCAAAAUCAUCACAGGCUAGACACAGAGACGGAUAAAGGGGGGGUGUCACAUUUUAAAGGAGAGGGACGAAAUUCAUAAUAAAAAAAAUAUUAUCUCUCUCCAAAAGCAAAAAAAGUGGGAACAGAUGGAAAUAUACUCAUAAUUAUUUUAACGUUUUUUCUUAAUGAAUACCAAAUAAACUCAUUCCUCACUUCCUUCUACAACCGUCGCAGUAACAAUGACUCCAUCUCACUUUCUUCAACCCUCUACCUUGUUUGUUGUUCAACCUUUUCCUUCCCCCACUCAUCAACCUUUAGGUCACCCAUUUUAAAUCGCCGACCACCAACCUUUUAUUUCAUACAUUUCUAUUUCUCGAAGAACAACAACUUCAACAACACUCACCACCGCCACAAUCACGCAGCAGUACAAACUGCUUAUUCACUCACCAAAACCGCAUGUCACCUUGAGCAGCAACGAGUCUGACAAACCUUCAUAGUUCCAUUUCCAGCGAAACAACAACAACACACAGUAUCUCUUUGUAGCGACACGACAAGAGGUAACACGGUGGUGUCACAAUAACAUAAAGCGGUAGCAGCUUUGGUGUUCUGUAACUUACAUAUUCGAGUUUCUUUAUGCUUGUUUCAAUGCGUAUCAUAUUGUUUUGAUUAUGUACUUAGAUUUUGGUUCGAUUAUGUCUAUGAUCAUGUUAUUGUCAAUGUUGUAAUGAUGAAAUAAUAUAUUGUGUUGUUGCAUGGGUUUAUGGUGUUGAAAUCAGUUUUGUUUGUGAUGAUUAUUUGACAUCGGUGGUUUAGAUUUUAUCGUGUGCAUAGAAUUUGUGUUAAUUUCCAUUAUUGUUUUCAAUUUGGAUUGGUGUUGGGAUGCUUUGAAUUUGAGUUUUCAUGUAAAUAAGAGGAUGAAUAAUUCAUGUGCAUAUUGGUUUGGUCUUUUGUUUGUUGCAUUAAUUUAUUUUUCAUUUUAGUUGCAUUUUUUUAUUAUAUAUUUAUUGAUGCCUUUUGAUGACAACUAAACGACUCUGGUGGGGUGGUAAAGCCUUUGGCUCCCAACCACCAGGUCCUGGGUCAAACUAGGCGCACCCCCAUUUUUG
RNAcentral lists this long non-coding RNA (1140 nucleotides) under Lathyrus oleraceus (garden pea). RNAcentral's name for it is "Pisum sativum (pea) long non-coding RNA (PSAT_LNC000521)". Lineage: Eukaryota; Viridiplantae; Streptophyta; Magnoliopsida; Fabales; Fabaceae. The record is from RNAcentral.